This 501-nucleotide ribosomal RNA is filed under the name uncultured bacterium. Its description in RNAcentral is "partial 16S ribosomal RNA". It matches the Rfam family "Bacterial small subunit ribosomal RNA", at positions 29 to 523 of the family's 1533-position model. The record is from RNAcentral.
AUUGAACGCUGGCGGCAUGCCUUACACAUGCAAGUCGAACGGCAGCACGGGUGCUUGCACCUGGUGGCGAGUGGCGAACGGGUGAGUAAUACAUCGGAACGUACCUUAUCGUGGGGGAUAACGCAGCGAAAGCUGUGCUAAUACCGCAUACGCCCUGAGGGGGAAAGCGGGGAAUCGCAAGACCUCGCGCGAUUAGAGCGGCCGAUGCCUGAUUAGCUUGUUGGUGGGGUAAAAGCCCACCAAGGGGACGAUCAGUAGCUGGUCUGAGAGGACGAUCAGCCACACGGGGACUGAGACCCGGCCCAGACUCCUCCGGGAGGCAGCAGUGGGGAAUUUUGGACAAUGGGGGCAACCCUGAUCCAGCAAUGCCGCGUGAGUGAAGAAGGCCUUCGGGUUGUAAAGCUCUUUUGUCAGGGAAGAAACACCGGCUCUAACACAGUCCGGGAAUGACGGUACCUGAAGAAUAAGCACCGGCUAACUACGUGCCAGCCGCCGCCGUAA